This is a long non-coding RNA of Mustela erminea (ermine), 2027 nucleotides long. RefSeq lists it as uncharacterized. The transcript is spliced from 3 exons. The record is from RefSeq and is a predicted model, not a curated record. NCBI's taxonomy places the organism in Eukaryota, Metazoa, Chordata, Mammalia, Carnivora, Mustelidae.
AAAUGGCAGAUCUCCUGCUCUUACCUAGAUCAGAAUACAUUGAGGUGAUUCUGUUACAGAAUUGUUACAGAAUGGCAGUCUUAAAUUGAUCAUCCUUCCCUUCUUAGUCCUGUCAAGUUUAGUUUCUGUUGUUUGGUUUUCACUUCCAAAUGCCACAGUUUGAGACCCCAGCCCUGUCACUAUUCUCCCACAAUGGUUGUGCACGUUCCUGGUCGUAGCCUUUCACGUUCAUCCCCAGCACCAUUUUGAAACUUCACUGUUCUCAAGUUUCCCACUUCUCUCCCUUUACUCUUGAUAAGUCUUUCAGUUCUUGUUUCCCGGAGAAAAGCCUCAGUUAGCCAUCUCUUCCUCUCUAUCCUAUGGCCUACCAAGGUCCAGCACCCAACGCCACUCAUCCCCACUCCCUCCUCUUGGAGCAGAAGCAUCCCUUCUCUUCGGUGCCUUUCUCACCACUGCUGCUUUUCUGCACUCAUCCUCCCACCUCUGCCCUUCAGAGAACUUGAAGCUCUUUCUCUUCCACCUUCACACUCAUCCCAUGUUACACCUGGCCCCUCAUCAUCUAAGCACCCUAAUGCCACAGAUGUUGGCCUCGUGUCUCUCUCCCCUAUUGCCCUUUUUUCUCUUCUUCCUGUUGUAGCUAAGCUUCUUCAAAGAGUUGCCUACAGUUACCAUCUUCACUUUUUCGUUUUUCCUUCAUUUCUCAGCCUACUCCAGUCUGGCUUCCUCCCCAGCCACUUCACUGACAGUAGCCUAGUUGCUGAAGUCGCAGACAAUUUUUCGUCCUUAUCUUGGCUAACCUCUUGGCGGCAUUUGACCAGUAUAUCUCUUCCUCCCAGAAAUGUACUCAUAGCUUCUGCGACAGUAGUCUCCUGAUUGUCCACUUUUCCAAAAAUAAAUUCAUCCUUUUUCAUGGCUCUAAAUGCUCAUAACUUCUGUGAUCGGGGGAAUAAUGGCCCCCAAGGAUGUUCAUGUCCUGAUCCCUGGAACCUGUGAAUGUCACUCUACAUAGCAAAAAGGACUUAACAGAUGUGGUGAAGACAGGAAGAUUUCCAAAUUGAUCUGCCUAUUGGCCAUCUCCCCUGGGAUCUGCUACAGGUAUUUCUGCAUGGAGCUGAAGUGAUGGAACUGCAUUUGAUAACUUUGAUUCAGGAUAGAACCAAAAGAAUCUACAUAAUGGUGAGUCUAUCAUUUUGCACUGUUGUCUCAGCCUGAGUUUCAGUAGGUGCUGUAUAACCCAUUUCAAAAUGAAGGAUUUUGUGGAGUGAAUGAGGUCAGGUUGCAAGAUGGGGCUCCUUAGUGGGCCUGGAGACUGCUUACAAUUCUCUCUUCCUCUCCCCUGCUCCCCCCUCUCUAAAAAAAAGCACAACUUUUCCAAAGACUUGGGGGUGUGCGGACAAAACACACACACAAAAACAACCCUGAGGACAGCUUCCCUUAUUGCUAUUUCAUUCUUAUACUAUUAUGAGUUAUCGCCUGGGUUACCGCUAUAUGGGUAUUAUAUAUAACAGAGCAGGAAGUGCCCCUAACUGUGCCAGUAGCAAAAUGUGCCUUAAAAAGGACAAGUUUAUUUAGAAAAAAACUUAAAAAGUAGAAAAGACAACUCUAUUUAGAACAGGAAUCCUGCUUCUGUCUGCAGCUGCUUUCCUUCAUUGGAUCUGGAAUCUUCCCGUUCUGGCUCCAAAGCGGGCUGAGGAAUCUCCUCUCUUCCUAGUGACCUCCCAGCCGGCACCGAUGGCCUGAUCAAUGUGCACCAGCGAGUGGUGCUGGUAAUGGCGGGGAUCGUGGCCCUCAGCUAAAGUCGCCAGUGAACAGAGCCUCUGCAUCAGGGCGGCCAUAGAUGCCAAGUGGAGCGGAAAGCUUGGCGCUGAGGCCGCCCCCGCCCCGCCUUCCAGCCUCAGUCGUUACACCCCCUCUCCGCCCGGCCCCAGCCCCCGGCGCCCUCCGCCCCGCUCCGCCCAGCUUCCAACCCCUUCCGCUGCGUCCCAACCCCUACCUCCGCUCCGCCCUAACCCGCCCCGCGGCUCCCG